CUACGGAGGGUGCAAGCGUUACUCGGAAUCACUGGGCGUAAAGCGCGCGCAGGCGGCUUGAUAAGUUGGAUGUGAAAGCCUACGGCUCAACCGUAGAACUGCAUCCAAAACUGUCAGGCUAGAGUGUGGGAGAGGAAGAUGGAAUUAGUUGUGUAGGGGUAAAAUCCGUAGAGAUAACUAGGAAUACCAAAAGCGAAGGCAAUCCUCUGGAACACUACUGACGCUGAGGCGCGAAGGCGUGGGGAGCAAACAGGAUUAGAAACCCGAGUAGUCC
RNAcentral lists this ribosomal RNA (274 nucleotides) under uncultured bacterium. Its description in RNAcentral is "partial 16S ribosomal RNA". It matches the Rfam family "Bacterial small subunit ribosomal RNA", at positions 523 to 796 of the family's 1533-position model. The record is from RNAcentral.